AGUGAACGCUGGCGGUAGGCCUAACACAUGCAAGUCGAACGGCAGCACAGUAAGAGCUUGCUCUUACGGGUGUCGAGUGUCGGACGGGUGAGGAAUACAUCGGAAUCUACUUUUUCGUGGGGGAUAACGUAGGGAAACUUACGCUAAUACCGCAUACGACCUACGGGUGAAAGCAGGGGAUCUUCGGACCUUGCGCGAUUGAAUGAGCCGAUGUCGGCUUAGCUAGUUGGCGGGGUAAAGGCCCACCAAGGCGACGAUCCGUAGCUGGUCUGAGAGGAUGUACAGACACACGGGAACUGAGAAAGGGUACAGACUCAUACGGGAGGCAGCAGUGGGGAAUAUUGGACAAAGGGCGCAAGCCUGAUCCAGCAAUACCGCGUGGGUGAAGAAGGCCUUCGGGUUGUAAAGCCAUUUUGUUGGGAAAGAAAAGAAGCAGGUUAAUACGCCGCUGUUCUGACGGUACCCAAAGAAUAAGCACCGGCUAACUUCGUG
This 492-nucleotide ribosomal RNA is filed under the name uncultured bacterium. RNAcentral's name for it is "partial 16S ribosomal RNA". It matches the Rfam family "Bacterial small subunit ribosomal RNA", at positions 29 to 507 of the family's 1533-position model. The record is from RNAcentral.